GGGGGCGUUACCGGUGAUCGAUUCUCGGCUAAACUUGGAAGUUGUGCAAGCCGAGGGCUUUAGUAGGUUGGCCUCGUAAAAAAACCUGCUAAAAUUGAUAAAUGCCAACGAAGAAUUGGCUCUUGCUGCUUAAUUAAACAGCGGCAAGCGUUCUUUUCUACUUUUCCGGCAGAGUAGAAAAGGGCGUGUUUAAAAGCCGGAAAACAUUGAAGAGUUUGAACCUUGUAUUCAAUGUUUAAUUUCAAAGGUUCCCGUCGUGGAAACUUAGGUUCGCGGUUCCUUUCUUCUACGACGGUUAAAAUAAAAACCGCUAAGCUUGUAGGACAAUUUCUAAGUUUCCGAGAAGACGAGGGUUCGACUCCCUCCGCCUCCACCA
RNAcentral lists this transfer-messenger RNA (376 nucleotides) under Candidatus Methylacidiphilum infernorum. RNAcentral describes it as "Methylacidiphilum infernorum Standard tmRNA". It matches the Rfam family "transfer-messenger RNA". From Rfam's summary of the family: Bacterial tmRNA, also known as 10Sa RNA or SsrA, is named for its dual tRNA and mRNA-like properties. Its role is to liberate the mRNA from a stalled ribosome. Lineage: Bacteria; Pseudomonadati; Verrucomicrobiota; Methylacidiphilae; Methylacidiphilales; Methylacidiphilaceae. The record is from RNAcentral.